AAGUCAUGGAUAAAUCAUCAAAUCUCAAUAUUAGUCAUAUGAUGGAUUUGAUUAGCUCAAGUCCAGAUGUAAUUUCUAUGAAAAUUCUUUUCCAUCAAUCACCCUACUGUGGCCAUAGAUUCAUGGACUUAGCUUCUCAAAUCUCAUAGGACUACUUCUCUCUAUCAAGGUUGAUAGAUCCUAUCUUGAUGCGCACCUUACUACAGUGGACCAACUGUCGCCA
RNAcentral lists this long non-coding RNA (223 nucleotides) under Elaeis guineensis (African oil palm). RNAcentral's name for it is "long non-coding RNA (EGUI_LNC055617)". The record is from RNAcentral. Lineage: Eukaryota; Viridiplantae; Streptophyta; Magnoliopsida; Arecales; Arecaceae.